CGCGCCUCGCCUACCUCCCCGGCCCGCGGGAACCCGAGCCCGUGGGCCCCGCCCUGGCACGUGCCUGCGCGAGUACACCAGCCACGUUUCAAGACUCAGGAGCCACGUGUGAUUGGGACAGCACUGACAUAAAGGGCCUGGCACGAGUUAAGUUCUCAGCCAAGUUCAGCUGUUAUCACCGGAGAUCUGGAAGACGUCUGCACUUUAGGGGUCUCCAAACUAAAGCAACCAGAAGAGUCCCCAUUAACGGCUUUGUUUUUGGACCCAGAGCAGUUCACCAGCAAGGACAAGAAUUUAAUCAAUUCACAGAUGUGCAGGUCUGCUUAAGAGCAGAGUGCCAUCUAAUAGAUCUUAUCGCCGGCUGUUAUAGACAGAAGCACUUUCUCCUGACACAAGACUACUACUGUUGGAUCUAUUAAUACGCCAAUUUUAGAGGUUUUACAUAUGAAUGAAGUAAAGAGGCUCUUUUGCUGUCAGCUACCAGGCCAAAAUCUCAGAUCUACCAAAAAUCUGCAUUUAAAUGUAUACUUCAGGUAAUGCUACAUAACAAGCACAGAAACUACGUCUCUGCUCCCAGCCUCUCACCACUGUUCUACUUACUCCUGGGAUCUUUCCUAACUCCACCUAGCACUGUGUUCUACAGACUGACUAUAAACCAAAGAUUGACUGUACGUGGGACUUCUACAACUCACACCAGAAUGCAUCCUGUCCCAAGAGACUUGGAGAAACUAGGCUCCCCAACUCCUGGGAAAAGAUUAGAGGCAGCAUUCCAAGCCAAACUGUAUCCAGCUUUAUUAAAGAUACUUUUCAUAAACAAUCAUGGUAUUUCAGGCAGGACAUGGGCAGACAAUCGGUAACAGUAUACAACAACUUUCAAACUCCCUUCUUCAAUGGACUACCAAAAUCAGAAAGCCACUAUAAAACCCAACGAAGUCUUCAUGUGAUGCUCUCAACAGGGCAAGUUUAGAGUGAGGGUUGACGUUUCACAUUUAGCAUGUUGUUUAACAACUUUUCACAAGCCGACCCUGACUUUCAGGAAAUGAAAUGAAAAUGGCAGAACUAUCAAUCUGAAGAUCCACAAUCUAAAUAAGGGAACUGCUGCUCUUUUGAGGGAUGCCAUCUCAAUGGUGACACUGGCAAGUCCAGAUUGCCUGACAUACUAGUAACCAAUUUUUGGGGGUCAGGUCUCAAGAGGUCUCUGGGUUUAAGGGAGUCAGGUCUAUGCUGAAGGCGGAGAGGGUGAAGACAUAAAAACAAAUUUUAGUUUUUCCACACCACCAGGCGUUUGUGCCAAGGUGGCGCAUGUGUGUCAACAUCAAGAGAUCUCUCCUCCUGGGAACCAAGAGGAAGGUCUCUCAAAACUAGAAGGGAAAGAUGUUUUUUUCCCCAUGUCAAUCCAGCUUCGGAGACAUUCUAUUAGUGACAUAUGCCCUUCCCCGAAAAACAA
Long non-coding RNA from Equus quagga, 1447 nucleotides. RefSeq lists it as uncharacterized. The transcript is spliced from 3 exons. NCBI's taxonomy places the organism in Eukaryota, Metazoa, Chordata, Mammalia, Perissodactyla, Equidae. The record is from RefSeq and is a predicted model, not a curated record.